RNAcentral lists this long non-coding RNA (237 nucleotides) under Elaeis guineensis (African oil palm). RNAcentral describes it as "long non-coding RNA (EGUI_LNC013403)". The record is from RNAcentral. Lineage: Eukaryota; Viridiplantae; Streptophyta; Magnoliopsida; Arecales; Arecaceae.
GUGGGGAGUGAACUUGGCCACGGUUGUCAAGAUCGUAAAGAAGAUUACAGUACUUGACGGAAGAGGGAGAGCAAUCCGUUUGCAAAUUAAGAAAAGAGGUUUCAAUUGAUUGAUUUGUUUCUUUUUUGUUGGGGGAGGGAAUGAUCUACCAUAAUGGUCGAAAUGAUGAUAGGAAGUAUGUCUGGCCAUAUUCAGUAAAAAUACCUGUGAUAAUCUGGCUAUACGUGGUAGGGUUCC